UCUGAAUGAGGUCAAAUUAUCAAGCGACAAGAUUUGGUUGAUAUGCUAUCAGGGUAACCUGACUUUUCGACUGAUUGAGUCUCAGGGAGAAUACCAUGGGAGUGACGAAUGCUUCCCAGAUAGAAACUGAUUCAGCUUCUUUAUCUUUUGUGGAGAGGGAAAUUUCCUUGUAAACCAUUCUGGACCACAGGUUCUAAAGGCGAAGGGGGCCAUGG
RNAcentral lists this long non-coding RNA (215 nucleotides) under Lathyrus oleraceus (garden pea). RNAcentral describes it as "Pisum sativum (pea) long non-coding RNA (PSAT_LNC000493)". The record is from RNAcentral. Lineage: Eukaryota; Viridiplantae; Streptophyta; Magnoliopsida; Fabales; Fabaceae.